RNAcentral lists this ribosomal RNA (384 nucleotides) under uncultured Alphaproteobacteria bacterium. RNAcentral describes it as "bacterial SSU rRNA". It matches the Rfam family "Bacterial small subunit ribosomal RNA", at positions 9 to 419 of the family's 1533-position model. Lineage: Bacteria; Pseudomonadati; Pseudomonadota; Alphaproteobacteria. The record is from RNAcentral.
GAGUUUGAUCGUGGCUCAGAACGAACGCUGGCGGCAGGCUUAACACAUGCAAGUCGAACGCGUGUAGCAAUACACGAGUGGCGCACGGGUGAGUAACACGUGGAUAUCUGCCUUUUGGUUCGGAAUAACCCUGGGAAACUAGGGCUAAUACCGGAUGGUUCCUACGGGAUAAAGAUUUAUCGCCAAAAGAUGAGUCCGCGUCCGAUUAGCUAGUUGGUGAGGUAAUGGCUCACCAAGGCGACGAUCGGUAGCUGGUCUGAGAGGACGAUCAGCCACACUGGGACUGAGACACGGCCCAGACUCCUACGGGAGGCAGCAGUGGGGAAUAUUGGACAAUGGGGGCAACCCUGAUCCAGCCAUGCCGCGUGAGUGAUGAAGGCCUUC